This 4457-nucleotide long non-coding RNA is filed under the name Homo sapiens (human). RNAcentral describes it as "HSALNT0133129". Lineage: Eukaryota; Metazoa; Chordata; Mammalia; Primates; Hominidae. The record is from RNAcentral.
GGAGGAGAGGCUAGAAUUCAGACUGAGAGACUCAGUUGAAAAACAAAAACCUAGCCCGUCAUUAUUCUAAGUAAGGCAAGAGAAGCUUGACAGGAUGCCUUCGUGAGCCCCUUCUCUGCAGCAGGGGAAGAAAGAAAAGGGGCUUGAAGCCUCUCUGCAGAGGCUCUUCCAGAGUGUGGCUGCAGGGUCCAGGUGACCCGUCAAUGGCGGUAAGGACCCUGGACAGGCGGGCAGUGAAGAGGCCCCUUCGGUGUGGGACUGCCCCAUAUUGCAUGGCACUACUUUGGACAGGGACUAAUGAGACUGUGAAAACAUGUUGCCUGGCCUCUGUCUCUUGGUGUCCAGAAACUUCUGCGUUACUGUGAUGGAAGCAUUCAGACGAGGCUGGUCUGCAGAGGCCACUGAUGUCCUGGGUGCUCCUGAGCCUGCAGCCUCCUGCAAGCCCCCGCUCCACAGCCAGGACUCGUGAGGCCUUUGGAGGCCCUGGAGGUUUGCUUUGCCAUCUCUGCUUUGAGGGUCACGGAAGCAGAGUCUGACCCCACAACCAGCCCCAUGCCUUCCUUCCUCCCUUCUGUUCAUUUUCCCAGUGAAGCUUAGAGGGCUCCUUCUGUUGGCCAUGCCUGCCCACCCUGCUGUCCUGGUCCUGGGCCCAGACCACACUUGACUUUUCCUCUGUCUCCAGGAUGCACUGGAUGGCUGUGUGACUGCCCAUGGCAUAACCUUAGGGGGUGCCACUCACAUAAAUGGUGAGGUGAAUUGCACUAUGGAACGCAAUAGCCCAUGAGCCCCGUCCACAGCUCAUUACAGUCCUGGUCAGGGCGGAGUCCAUCAGAGGCUCCCCGGGUUGGCAAUUCAGGGUUUUUGUUGCUGUUGUUUCGAGAAAGGAUCUUGCUGUGUCAUCCACGCUGGAGUGCAGUGGUGCAAUCACGGCUCGCUGCAGCCUCAAUCUCCCGGGCUCAACUGAUUCUCCCACCUCAGCCUCCUAAGUAGCUGGAACCACAAGCAUGCACCACCACGCCUACCUAAUUUUUUAUUUUAAUUUUUUUCUUUUUUUUUCCACCUAUGUGACAACUGAAGAUCCCAGCUAAUUCUUUUUUUUUAAGAGAUGGGGUCUUGCUAUGUUGCCUAGGCUGGUCUUAAACUUCUGGACUCACGUGAUCCUCCCACCUCAGCCUCCCAAAAAUGCUGAGGUUACAGGUGUGAGCUGCCGCAUCCAGCAUUUUUAUUUUUUAUUUUUUUGAGACAAGGUCUCACUCUGUUGCUCAGGUUGGAGUGCAGUGGCACAAUCAUGGUUCACUGCAGCCUCAAACUCCUAGGCUCAAGCAAUCCUCCUGCCUCAGCCUCCCAAGUAGCUGGGACCACAGGUGUGUGUCACCACACCUAGCUAAAUUAAUUAAUUAAUUAGUUAUUAUUAUUUUGUAGAGACAGGGGCUCCCUAUGUUGCCCAGGCUGGUCUUGACCUCCUGGUAUCAAGUGAUCCUAUCACCUUGAACCCUCAAAGCGCCUAUCCCUAUUUCUCUUUUUUCUAAAAGAAAAAGUUCAGUGACAAUGACAAGUGGUAAUUCACACGUGGCCUCAAUGUUGCGGAGAAACUAAAGGACGGAGGAGGAAAAGUGGAACGUGUAAGCCUUAAAUAAAGACGGUAGCUUCUACUUAGUUCUAGCAGAUUCCUGCCAAGAGAGGAUGAUAGCAGAAUGUUGCCAUGGCUGCUUCUUUAUUCGCUAGAAGCAGAAAUCCGUAUUUUUGGAUGAAGCUUCCUGCUUUUUAAAUGUUGGCUCAAAUGAAAGACAAAACAGGAAUCCAGGCUAGGGGAGAGGGUGACUUGGAGCAGGGGGCUUGCAGGGAGGUGUGAGAAGUGAGAAUAUUCUGAAGGCAGAGAUUUCCUCAUGGGUUGGGUGUGGGCUAUGAGAGAAAAAGACAGAAAAAGAGGAAGCAGGAUGAUUCCAAGUUGUUUUUUUUUUUUUGAGACGGAGUCUCGCUCUGUCGCCCAGGCUGGAGUGCAGUGGCGUGAUCUUGGCUCACCGGAAGCUCCACCUCCCGGGUUCACGUCAUUCUCCUGCCUCAGCCUCCCGAGUAGCUGGGACUACAGGCGCCCGCAACCACACCCGGCUAAUUUUUUGUACUUUUCGUAGAAAUGGGGUUUCACCGUGUUAGCCAGGAUGGUCUCGAUCUCCUGAUCUCGUGAUCCACCAGCCUCAGCCUCCCAAAGUGCUGGGAUUACAGGCAUGACCCAAUGCGCCCAGCUUCUUUUUUUUUUUUUUUUGGCUGAGCCUCUGGGCUCCUCCUAAUGACCCCCUGCGUCCUGCUUUCUCCCUCACGCCUGGCAUGUCAGUCUCAACGCAGCGCCCGAGGGCUUCUUUAAAACCCAAGUCAAAUCAUACACUCCUCUGCUCAAAGGCCACCAAUCGCGCCCACACCAUCAAAGUAAAAGCCCAGGCCCAGGAAGUAGAAUGGGGGCUGUCAAGAGCUGGGGAAGGGGGAGCUAGUGUUUAAUAGGUGUAGCGUUUCAGCUGGGGGAUGAGAAAGUUCUGGAGAUGGAUGGUGGAGAUGGUUGUGCAACAAUGGGAAUGCUAUAAACGUGGGUGGGGAAGACUUCAGAGGAGGAAGUUUUAUGGGGGAGAGCAGGAGCUCAGUUUGGGGCAUGUCAAGAAUGAGAUGCCUUAUUAAACAUUCGAGCCAAGACACUGAACAGAGCUGAGUCUGGAGUUCACAGAGAGCCAAGCUGGGGACAUGGAUUUGCAAUCAAUCAGUGCACAGAUGGCAUCAGUUCCACGGGACUGAGAGUUCACCAGCGUAGCGAGAACAGCCAAAACCAAACCAAACCAAAACGUUCUCCACAGGUCCCAGGAGUGAGCCAGAGACUUUAAGCUGAAAGGAGGAGGGAGAGACAUGAAGGCUGCACAUACACAGAAAAAAAAAAAAACCCAACAACAUGUGGGGACACGGAGAAGGCAUAGCCUGAGGAGAAACCAGCCAUGCCAACACCUUGAUCUCAGACUUCUAACCUCCAAAACUGUGAGAAAACGAACGCCUAUUGUUAAGUUGCCCAGCCUGUGGUAUUUUGUUACGGAAGCCUGAGCAAACUAACACAGCCUGGCAUUUUUGCUCUGAAGUUUACAGGAUUGAUUGGAAUUUAUGGGAAUAGAUUUAUAGUUGCACAACUCAAUGCUAUGCAGGGAUUUUCUCCAGCGUGAUUCCUUUGGUGAAACAGUGGCCCCCACUUCCUACUGUCUGCCCAAACCCAAGCCAGCGAAAGUGUCCAUUCACCCAUCCAUUCAGUCAUUUACUCAUUCAUUCAACAAAUAUUUAUUGAAGACUUACUGUAAAGGUCUUAUAAAAGGUGAUGGAACCUUGUCCAUAUCAGGGUUAGACAUGGCUAAGUUCUGGGGAAUUAGAACAUAUUAUUAAUCUCCAUAACAAAUACAGCUUUUGAUGACACACAGAAACGAAUGAAAUCGGACACAAAGUCCCAAUCAGUUUUUGGAAAUAAUCCACAAAAUAAAUGGAAGUUUCAGUUCCAUAAACAACUAAAUUGGAUCCAGAUAUCAGAUAAUUCCACAUUAUAUUGAAAAAGAAGAAAUCGGGCCAGGCAUCAGCAUGUUGGGAGGCUGAGGUGGGCAGAUCACUUGAGGUCAGGAGUUCAAGACCAGCCUGGCCAACAUGGUGAAACCUUGUCUCUACUAAAAAUACAAAAAUCAGCCAGGUGUGCUGGCACAUGCCUGUAAUCCCAGCUACUCAGGAGGCUGAGGCAUGAGAAUUGCUUGAACCUGGAUGGCAGAGGUUGCAGUGGGCCGAUUGUGCCACUGCACAUGGUUUGGCUGUGUCUCCACCCAAAUCUCAUCUUGAAUUGUAACUGCAAGAAUUCCCAUGUGUCGUGGGAGGAACCUGGUGGGCAGUGAUUGAAUAAUGGGGGCAGGUCUGUCCUGCACUGUUCUUGAGAUGGUGAAUGAGUCUCAUGAAGUCUGGUGGCUUUAGAAAUGGGAGUUUCCCUGCACAAAUUCUCUCUUCGCUUGUUUGCCCCCAUGUGAGAUGUGACUUUCACAUUCCACCAUGAUUGUGAGGCCUCUCCAGCCAUGUGGAACUUUAAGUCCAAUAAACCUCUUUCUUUUGUAAAUUGCCCAGUCUCUGAUAUGUCUUUAUCAGCAGCAUAAAAAUGGACUAAUACCAUCUUGUAUACUGUUUGGUUAAUAAAUGCCCUUCUGGGAGACAGGCCUCACAACAUCCACAAAAGCUGGGCUGCUUUCUGGGGCAGAAAGAGCUUAAUGAAGAUUAAUAUCUUUGUGUUGAGUGAACUCUGAGAUGGCUCCCUGUGGUCCCUGACUCCUGGUGUUCUCACCCUUGUGUAAUGUCCCCAAUUGUGUGCAGGCAGGACCUUCGAUUUGGUUUUAACAAACAGAGAAGAGCAAAGAUGAUAGGAUGUCACCUCUGUAAAUAUAAGAUGACGACUUGUGUCUUGG